CCGAGUUUACAACUCCCAAACCCAAUGUGAACGUUACCAAACUGUUGCCUCGGCGGGAUCUCUGCCCCGGGCGCGUCGCAGCCCCGGACCAAGGCGCCCGCCGGAGGACCAACCCAAAACCCUUAUUGUAUACCCCCUCGCGGGUUUUUUUUUAUAAUCUGAGCCUUCUCGGCGCCCCUUCGUGGGCGUUUCGAAAAUGAAUCAAAACUUUCAACAACGGAUCUCUUGGUUCUGGCAUCGAUGAAGAACGCAGCGAAAUGCGAUAAGUAAUGUGAAUUGCAAAAUUCAGUGAAUCAUCGAAUCUUUGAACGCACAUUGCGCCCGCCAGUAUUCUGGCGGGCAUGCCUGUCCGAGCGUCAUUUCAACCCUCGAACCCCUCCGGGGGGUCGGCGUUGGGGAUCGGCCCUCCCUCGCGGGGGGCCGUCUCCGAAAUACAGUGGCGGUCUCGCCGCAGCCUCUCCUGCGCAGUAGUUUGCACGCUCGCACCGGGAGCGCGGCGCGUCCACAGCCGUUAAACACCCAACUUUCUGAAAUGUUGACCUCGGAUCAGGUAGGAAUACCCGCUGAACUUAAGCAUAUCAAA
RNAcentral lists this ribosomal RNA (583 nucleotides) under Trichoderma solum. Its description in RNAcentral is "eukaryotic LSU rRNA". The stretch from base 206 to 359 matches the Rfam family "5.8S ribosomal RNA". The record is from RNAcentral. Lineage: Eukaryota; Fungi; Ascomycota; Sordariomycetes; Hypocreales; Hypocreaceae.